UUACGGGAGGCAGCAGUGGGGAAUCUUGCGCAAUGGGCGAAAGCCUGACGCAGCCAUGCCGCGUGAAUGAUGAAGGUCUUAGGAUUGUAAAAUUCUUUCACCGGGGACGAUAAUGACGGUACCCGGAGAAGAAGCCCCGGCUAACUUCGUGCCAGCAGCCGCGGUAAUACGAAGGGGGCUAGCGUUGCUCGGAAUUACUGGGCGUAAAGGGAGCGUAGGCGGACAUUUAAGUCAGGGGUGAAAUCCCAGAGCUCAACUCUGGAACUGCCUUUGAUACUGGAUGUCUUGAGUGUGAGAGAGGUAUGUGGAACUCCGAGUGUAGAGGUGAAAUUCGUAGAUAUUCGGAAGAACACCAGUGGCGAAGGCGACAUACUGGCUCAUUACUGACGCUGAGGCUCGAAAGCGUGGGGAGCAAACAGGAUUAGAUACCCGAGUAA
Molecule: ribosomal RNA, 437 nt
Filed under: uncultured bacterium
Lineage: Bacteria
Description: bacterial SSU rRNA
Rfam family: Bacterial small subunit ribosomal RNA
Source: RNAcentral